Molecule: ribosomal RNA, 465 nt
Filed under: uncultured bacterium
Lineage: Bacteria
Description: partial 16S ribosomal RNA
Rfam family: Bacterial small subunit ribosomal RNA
Source: RNAcentral
GACGAACGCUGGCGGCGUGCUUAACACAUGCAAGUCGAACGGAAAGGCCCUGCUUGCGGGGUACUCGAGUGGCGAACGGGUGAGUAACACGUGGGUGAUCUGCCCUGCACUUCGGGAUAAGUCUGGGAAACUGGGUCUAAUACCGGAUAGAAGCCAUUUUUAGUGUGAUGGUUGGAAAGUUUUUUCGGUGUAGGAUGAGCUCGCGGCCUAUCAGCUUGUUGGUGGGGUAAGGGCCUACCAAGGCGGCGACGGGUAGCCGGCCCGGGAGGGUGGACGGGCACAUUGAGACUGAGACUGAGCCCAGACUCCGACGGGAGGCAGCAGUGGGGAAGAUUGCAAAAUGGGCGCGAGCCUGAGGCAGCGACGCCGCGGGCGGGAGGACGGCCAUCGGGUUGGAAACGCCUUUCGCUAGGGACGAAGCUUUUUGUGACGGUACCUAGAUAAGAAGCACCGGCUAACUACGUG